GGUUAAGCGACUAAGCGUACACGGUGGAUGCCCUGGCAGUCAGAGGCGAUGAAGGACGUGCUAAUCUGCGAAAAGCGACGGCGAGGUGAUAUGAACCUUUGA
This 102-nucleotide ribosomal RNA is filed under the name Enterobacter hormaechei. RNAcentral's name for it is "partial 23S ribosomal RNA". It matches the Rfam family "Bacterial large subunit ribosomal RNA", at positions 1 to 102 of the family's 2925-position model. The record is from RNAcentral. Lineage: Bacteria; Pseudomonadati; Pseudomonadota; Gammaproteobacteria; Enterobacterales; Enterobacteriaceae. RNAcentral also lists the same sequence under 1 other name.